This 281-nucleotide long non-coding RNA is filed under the name Elaeis guineensis (African oil palm). RNAcentral describes it as "long non-coding RNA (EGUI_LNC046929)". Lineage: Eukaryota; Viridiplantae; Streptophyta; Magnoliopsida; Arecales; Arecaceae. The record is from RNAcentral.
AAAGGCCAAAAGAAUUGUCAUCGUAGCAAGAAGGCUCACUUUCUUCCUUGCACAGAGCAAAAGCAUAUCAUCAGCGAAUUGAAGCCUGCGAUGGUAAAAGAAAGUUGAAAUGGUUGCUAUACUGCUUUGACUCGAAACUUAAUGACUUAAGCUUUUUUUUGUUUAGCUUGGAUCCACCUAUCUCUCCUGAUUAUUUAUUGAACUAAAUAAUUUUAAAUCAUUUAUGAGUGUAAAUGAUUUUAAAUCAUUUAAGAGUGUAGCAAUCUUAUACCCACAAAGCA